Molecule: long non-coding RNA, 1388 nt
Filed under: Mytilus galloprovincialis (Mediterranean mussel)
Lineage: Eukaryota; Metazoa; Mollusca; Bivalvia; Mytilida; Mytilidae
Source: RNAcentral
CUAGUGAUUCAUCAAAACUUCAUGAACAUUCAUAAAAUACUUUUAAUGAACAGUUCAUGAAUUAAAUUCAUGAACCUUCAUUUAUGAAUUAUUUAUGAAUUUUCAUGUACCAUUCAUGAACAUUCACGAACCAUUCAUGAUAGUUCAUGAAGUCAUGAAUUUCUUCUCGCCGGGGUAUACAUUCAUGUAUGGGACUAUAUAUAUAACUAAUCAAAUGAAAUAUAAGGGGAGUCCAUGGGGUGACCCACCCCCUCCUGUUUGGGAACUUACGAAACGGUCGAGAUCCCCACCCCUAAACAAUAUAUAUUCAUGUAUGGGUCAAUAUAACUAAUUAAAUGAAAUAUAGGGGAGUCCCCCUACCCCCUCCUGUUUGAGAACUUGGAAACCGAUGAGAUCCCCACCCCUAAACCAUAUAUAUUCAUGUAUGGGACAAUAUAACAAAUCAAAUGAAAUAUAGGGGAAGUCCCUGGGGUCAUCCUAUCCCUUCCUGUUUGAGAACUUGAAAACCCUCGAGAUCCCCACCCCUAAACCAUAUAUAUUCAUGUAUGGAACAAUAUAACAAAUCAAAUGAAAUAUAGGGGAAGUCCCUGGGGUCACCCUACCCCUUCCUGUUUGAGAACUUGAAAACCCUCGAGAUCCCAACCCCUAAACCAUAUAUAUUCAUAUACAAUGUAACCAGACAAUAUAACAAAUCAAUUACAUUUACUAUGGGCUGGUCAGUCAGACCUCACCUUUGAUCCUUGUAGUAGUGAACAUUUGUCUGAUUUGUGUCGCAUAACUAUUGUACUAUAGAACACAUACUCAGUUUUCUUUACAGGGAAACCAGUCCAUUCAUACUAUUACAUGUUCGUACUAAGUCAACACGUACUACUAACAGUCAACUAAAACCAACGUUAAAUACCAACUAGAACAACUACAAUCAUUGCGAACUUGUACCACUGCAGACUCACCAUAAAAAAUAUACAUUUAUAUAUUCAUUGCUAUUGAAACCUUGAUCACAUAUAAAUUAUUUGCCUUAAUAAUUAAUUCAUUAGAUAAACAUAAAUGUACAAUAUAUGAAUGUUUAAUGCCACAUCAGAGGCGGAUUUAGAGGGUUUUUCAGUGCCCCCCCCCCUUUCCAUUUUUGAGAAAAAAAUUGGUUGAUUAUAUAGGGAAUCACUGAAGCAUGACUGGAGCAGGUCCCUGUUAGGCAGGCAGUGGGCCCCCACUUAUGAAAAUUUCUGGAUCCGCCACUGCACAUAAUUACGUUUGCCUGGUUUUUGGUUAACUGCCUUCAGCGCUUACAGCGCUUUGAUUUAUUAUGGGCCCAGUUUUUAAGUUUGUCAAAAUUGGGGUCCAAAAUUAAACUUUGUUUAAAUAAUGGGCUACAUUAAGCUUAGUCUAAAGGG